RNAcentral lists this ribosomal RNA (497 nucleotides) under uncultured bacterium. Its description in RNAcentral is "partial 16S ribosomal RNA". It matches the Rfam family "Bacterial small subunit ribosomal RNA", at positions 28 to 507 of the family's 1533-position model. The record is from RNAcentral.
GAUGAACGCUGGCGGCGUGCCUAAUACAUGCAAGUCGAGCGAACAGACGAGGAGCUUGCUCCUCUGACGUUAGCGGCGGACGGGUGAGUAACACGUGGAUAACCUACCUAUAAGACUGGGAUAACUUCGGGAAACCGGGGCUAAUACCGGAUAAUAUAUUAAACCGCAUGGUUCAAUAGUGAAAGACGGUUUUGCUUUCACUUAUAGAUGGAUCCGCGCCGCAUUAGCUAGUUGGUAAGGUAACGGCUUACCAAGGCAACGAUGCGUAGCCGACCUGAGAGGGUGAUCGGCCACACUGGAACUGAGACACGGUCCAGACUCCUACGGGAGGCAGCAGUAGGGAAUCUUCCGCAAUGGGCGAAAGCCUGACGGAGCAACGCCGCGUGAGUGAUGAAGGUCUUCGGAUCGUAAAACUCUGUUAUUAGGGAAGAACAAAUGUGUAAGUAACUAUGCACGUCUUGACGGUACCUAAUCAGAAAGCCACGGCUAACUACGUG